UAAUACGUAGGUGGCGAGCGUUGUCCGGAAUUACUGGGCGUAAAGGGCGCGCAGGCGGUUCGUUAAGUCCAAGGUGAAAUCCCACGGCUCAACUGUGGGGGGACCCUGGAUACUGGCGGGCUGGAGUGCGGGAGAGGGAAGCGGAAUUCCACGUGUAACGGUGAAAUGUAUAGAUAUGUGGAGGAACACCGGUGGCGAAGGCGGCUUCCUGGACCGUAACUGACGCUGAGGCGCGAAAGCUGGGGGAGCGAACAGGAUUAGAUACCCUGGUAGUCCCAGCCGUAAACUAUGAACACUAGGUGUGGGGGGUAUCGACCCCUUCCGUGCCGCAGCUAACGCAAUAAGUGUUCCGCCUGGGGAGUACGGCCGCAAGGUUGAAACUUAAAUGAAUUGACGG
Molecule: ribosomal RNA, 397 nt
Filed under: uncultured bacterium
Lineage: Bacteria
Description: bacterial SSU rRNA
Rfam family: Bacterial small subunit ribosomal RNA
Source: RNAcentral